Syzygium oleosum is the source of this 1257-nucleotide long non-coding RNA. RefSeq lists it as uncharacterized. Lineage: Eukaryota; Viridiplantae; Streptophyta; Magnoliopsida; Myrtales; Myrtaceae. The record is from RefSeq and is a predicted model, not a curated record. The transcript is spliced from 3 exons.
UUCAUGUCGAACAAUUUGGAACACGUUUUCCUAAAGACAAUCGUCUAUAUCGCCCAUAAAAAUAUAGGCUUUAUUGAUUCUCUCUCCCUCUCUCUUGAAAUCCUAGAAUAUUUGCAUUGCCGUCUAUCCUUCAGGGCGAUAACCAUGGUGCGUCUUAUUAGAGAUGAGCCAUUAUUAGUUUCAGGAAUGCCACUGAAGCAAGAAUCUAUCAAUGCGAGAGGGGUUUAUUAUGGCGGACAUGAUCUACUUUGGAGGCCUUAUAUUGCGGACUAGGGGAUGGACUGUGCAGCAUUGGAAAAGUUUGGUUAUCCUUUUGUUCUGCUGCCCGUGUUGAGUACAAGUGUACAGGAGUUAUCGAGCUUGUGUCACCCACUGCGCAUGCGCGGUUGAUCGCUAACCCUAUUCGUUGCAUGUACUGUGUAUUGUGCAUAUGCAAGUGAUCCUGUGUGCUGCUCUAUCUCAAUAUUAUACAGUGAUUGGGCCUAUGUACUGCACUUUUUUGAGAAUAUACAGGUUCUGUGAAAACGCUGGGGUGUGGAUAUUUUGUGCCAUAGGCUGCAUGUGGAGGCAAAGUUAUUAUGUUUAAACAAAUACUUACGUUCUCUUCUGCAGCAACUUGAUUAUCGAGCGAUGGAUAAUGAGAUAGAUGAACCGGUGUUGUAUAUUGGGAAGCCUAAUCAAAUAUUGGUCAGAAGGAGCAAGCGUUGCGAACAAAGCACAUUCUCCGGUGAGAGUUCUAUGGCGUCUUCAAGGAAUCGAGGAAGCAACGUGUGAAGGUGAGGAGGAAACGCUGAAAAAGUAUGCUGAGUUAUUUGAGUAAUGAAUCAGGCCCGUCAAAUUUUGAGGAAGAAAUUUCUUUAUCGGGGGUAGAAUUGCAAUAUCUUAACACGCCAGCGUUCAUUCGAGGAGUUGUGUAGUUGCAAUAAUAGGGUGUCCAAAUAUACGAUUGAACAGGACACUCAAUAAGUUUGGUCGAUAUGGGCCUAAAUUGAUCUGUUCGACAAUUGCGUGAGCGACCCGGAUAUCUUACGUGAUCGUACAAAGGUCAAGUAACAAGAAACUGCUACAAUUGGGGCUCCUAAAGAAGAAGAUUGAGAAUUUUUUGUAGACCCAAAAACCAAAUGGGGUAGCAUGAAUUCUAAUUGGACCUCUUGAUCAUAGUGGAGGAGAAAGCGGACUACUUUGUGUUUUAGUUGGUCUAAACUAACGUGGAUUUAACUAUUUUAGGUGAAUAUCUAUUGAAUGGAAUUGAUUUUU